This 1944-nucleotide ribosomal RNA is filed under the name Salmonella enterica. RNAcentral's name for it is "partial 23S ribosomal RNA". It matches the Rfam family "Bacterial large subunit ribosomal RNA", at positions 711 to 2637 of the family's 2925-position model. RNAcentral also lists the same sequence under 1 other name. The record is from RNAcentral. Lineage: Bacteria; Pseudomonadati; Pseudomonadota; Gammaproteobacteria; Enterobacterales; Enterobacteriaceae.
AGACCCGAAACCCGGUGAUCUAGCCAUGGGCAGGUUGAAGGUUGGGUAACACUAACUGGAGGACCGAACCGACUAAUGUUGAAAAAUUAGCGGAUGACCUGUGGCUGGGGGUGAAAGGCCAAUCAAACCGGGAGAUAGCUGGUUCUCCCCGAAAGCUAUUUAGGUAGCGCCUCGUGAACUCAUCUCCGGGGGUAGAGCACUGUUUCGGCUAGGGGGCCAUCCCGGCUUACCAACCCGAUGCAAACUGCGAAUACCGGAGAAUGUUAUCACGGGAGACACACGGCGGGUGCUAACGUCCGUCGUGAAGAGGGAAACAACCCAGACCGCCAGCUAAGGUCCCAAAGUCAUGGUUAAGUGGGAAACGAUGUGGGAAGGCCCAGACAGCCAGGAUGUUGGCUUAGAAGCAGCCAUCAUUUAAAGAAAGCGUAAUAGCUCACUGGUCGAGUCGGCCUGCGCGGAAGAUGUAACGGGGCUAAACCAUGCACCGAAGCUGCGGCAGCGACACUUUAGUGUUGUUGGGUAGGGGAGCGUUCUGUAAGCCGUUGAAGGUGUGUCGUGAGGCAUGCUGGAGGUAUCAGAAGUGCGAAUGCUGACAUAAGUAACGAUAAAGCGGGUGAAAAGCCCGCUCGCCGGAAGACCAAGGGUUCCUGUCCAACGUUAAUCGGGGCAGGGUGAGUCGACCCCUAAGGCGAGGCCGAAAGGCGUAGUCGAUGGGAAACGGGUUAAUAUUCCCGUACUUGGUGUUACUGCGAAGGGGGGACGGAGAAGGCUAUGUUGGCCGGGCGACGGUUGUCCCGGUUUAAGCGUGUAGGCUGGUUUUCCAGGCAAAUCCGGAAAAUCAAGGCUGAGGCGUGAUGACGAGGCACCACGGUGCUGAAGCAACAAAUGCCCUGCUUCCAGGAAAAGCCUCUAAGCAUCAGGUAACAUCAAAUCGUACCCCAAACCGACACAGGUGGUCAGGUAGAGAAUACCAAGGCGCUUGAGAGAACUCGGGUGAAGGAACUAGGCAAAAUGGUGCCGUAACUUCGGGAGAAGGCACGCUGACACGUAGGUGAAGUGAUUUACUCAUGGAGCUGAAGUCAGUCGAAGAUACCAGCUGGCUGCAACUGUUUAUUAAAAACACAGCACUGUGCAAACACGAAAGUGGACGUAUACGGUGUGACGCCUGCCCGGUGCCGGAAGGUUAAUUGAUGGGGUCAGCGCAAGCGAAGCUCCUGAUCGAAGCCCCGGUAAACGGCGGCCGUAACUAUAACGGUCCUAAGGUAGCGAAAUUCCUUGUCGGGUAAGUUCCGACCUGCACGAAUGGCGUAAUGAUGGCCAGGCUGUCUCCACCCGAGACUCAGUGAAAUUGAACUCGCUGUGAAGAUGCAGUGUACCCGCGGCAAGACGGAAAGACCCCGUGAACCUUUACUAUAGCUUGACACUGAACAUUGAGCCUUGAUGUGUAGGAUAGGUGGGAGGCUUUGAAGCGUGGACGCCAGUCUGCGUGGAGCCGACCUUGAAAUACCACCCUUUAAUGUUUGAUGUUCUAACGUGGACCCGUAAUCCGGGUUGCGGACAGUGUCUGGUGGGUAGUUUGACUGGGGCGGUCUCCUCCUAAAGAGUAACGGAGGAGCACGAAGGUUGGCUAAUCCUGGUCGGACAUCAGGAGGUUAGUGCAAUGGCAUAAGCCAGCUUGACUGCGAGCGUGACGGCGCGAGCAGGUGCGAAAGCAGGUCAUAGUGAUCCGGUGGUUCUGAAUGGAAGGGCCAUCGCUCAACGGAUAAAAGGUACUCCGGGGAUAACAGGCUGAUACCGCCCAAGAGUUCAUAUCGACGGCGGUGUUUGGCACCUCGAUGUCGGCUCAUCACAUCCUGGGGCUGAAGUAGGUCCCAAGGGUAUGGCUGUUCGCCAUUUAAAGUGGUACGCGAGCUGGGUUUAGAACGUCGUGAGACAGUUCGGUCC